RNAcentral lists this ribosomal RNA (443 nucleotides) under uncultured bacterium. RNAcentral's name for it is "partial 16S ribosomal RNA". It matches the Rfam family "Bacterial small subunit ribosomal RNA", at positions 338 to 795 of the family's 1533-position model. The record is from RNAcentral.
CCUACGGGAGGCAGCAGUGGGGAAUAUUGGGCAAUGGGCGCAAGCCUGACCCAGCAACGCCGCGUGAAGGAAGAAGGCCCUCGGGUUGUAAACUUCUUUUAUCAAGGACGAAACAAAUGAUGGUACUUGAUGAAUAAGCCACGGCUAACUACGUGCCAGCAGCCGCGGUAAUACGUAGGUGGCAAGCGUUAUCCGGAUUUACUGGGUGUAAAGGGCGUGUAGGCGGGACUGCAAGUCAGAUGUGAAAACCAUGGGCUCAACCCAUGGCCUGCAUUUGAAACUGGAGUUCUUGAGUGGUCGAGAGGCAGGCGGAAUUCGGGGUGUAGCGGUGAAAUGCGUAGAUAUAACGAAGAACUCCGAUGGCGAAGGCAGCCUGCUGGACAAUAACUGACGCUGAGGCGCGAAAGCGUGGGUAGCAAACAGGAUUAGAUACCCCUGUAGUC